GACGAACGCUGGCGGCGUGCUUAACACAUGCAAGUCGAACGGAAAGGCCUCUUUCGGGGGGUACUCGAGUGGCGAACGGGUGAGUAACACGUGAGUAACCUGCCCUUGACUUUGGGAUAACUUCAGGAAACUGGGGCUAAUACCGGAUAGGAGCUCCUGCUGCAUGGUGGGGGUUGGAAAGUUUCGGCGGUUGGGGAUGGACUCGCGGCUUAUCAGCUUGUUGGUGGGGUAGUGGCUUACCAAGGCUUUGACGGGUAGCCGGCCUGAGAGGAUGACCGGCCACAUUGGGACUGAGAUACGGCCCAGACUCCUACGGGAGGCAGCAGUGGGGAAUAUUGCACAAUGGGUGGAAGCCUGAUGCAGCAACGCCGUGUGCGGGAUGACGGCCUUCGGGUUGUAAACCGCUUUCGCUCAUGACGAAGCUUUGUGUGACGGUAGUGGGUAAAGAAGCACCGGCUAACUACGUG
This 467-nucleotide ribosomal RNA is filed under the name uncultured bacterium. RNAcentral describes it as "partial 16S ribosomal RNA". It matches the Rfam family "Bacterial small subunit ribosomal RNA", at positions 28 to 507 of the family's 1533-position model. The record is from RNAcentral.